GACGAACGCUGGCGGCGUGCUUAACACAUGCAAGUCGAACGGAAAGGCCCUGCUUUUGUGGGGUGCUCGAGUGGCGAACGGGUGAGUAACACGUGAGUAACCUGCCCUUGACUUUGGGAUAACUUCAGGAAACUGGGGCUAAUACCGGAUAGGAGCUCCUGCUGCAUGGUGGGGGUUGGAAAGUUUCGGCGGUUGGGGAUGGACUCGCGGCUUAUCAGCUUGUUGGUGGGGUAGUGGCUUACCAAGGCUUUGACGGGUAGCCGGCCUGAGAGGGUGACCGGCGACAUUGGGACUGAGAUACGGCCCAGACUCCUACGGGAGGCAGCAGUGGGGAAUAUUGCACAAUGGGUGGAAGCCUGAUGCAGCAACGCCGCGUGCGGGAUGACGGCCUUCGGGUUGUAAACCGCUUUCGCCUGUGACGAAGCGUGAGUGACGGUAAUGGGUAAAGAAGCACCGGCUAACUACGUG
This 468-nucleotide ribosomal RNA is filed under the name uncultured bacterium. Its description in RNAcentral is "partial 16S ribosomal RNA". It matches the Rfam family "Bacterial small subunit ribosomal RNA", at positions 28 to 507 of the family's 1533-position model. The record is from RNAcentral.